Molecule: non-coding RNA, 246 nt
Organism: Pogona vitticeps (central bearded dragon)
Lineage: Eukaryota; Metazoa; Chordata; Lepidosauria; Squamata; Agamidae
Source: RefSeq, a predicted model, not a curated record
AGUCAGCAAGCAGAGAAAACAACAAGAAAGUUGUUGGCGUUUUUCCUCAUUCGAGGACUGAAUGGAGUCUACAGUAGGAGGCACAGGAGCUGUCCAGCCCUUAUCUGAUGAAGAUAAAGAACCCUAAAGAGGAAGAUCAAGGACCCUGAAGUUGCCCAUCUACUGUGAGCACCUGGGGAGCUAACUCAGCAAGUGCUUUGUGAGCUGCCUCCCUUCUCCACCCAUCCUGCAGUGCACUCUGCCCGC